CAAAAUCGAAAAUUUCAUAUAUAGGUAUACCUAUAGCAUCAAUUCCACAACCAAGUAACACAAAACAAAACAAGCAUAUAAAACAUACAUGGUAGAAAAUCAAUCCUGAAUUUUAAAGGUGAGAUACCUGCAGAGUAGAAAACAUACAAAUAUUGUGCUUGUAUGAUCUCCUCGACCUCCCAAAUAGCUUGUCUUUUUUCUUUACCGUGAUGUCCGGACCAGUUUGCGUGCACCUCGACUAAUUUCAGGAGAUACCUGUUAUCACCUCCCAAAUAGCUUCUUUAUCUCGAGUGGUUCCUCCAAACGACCUUUACUGAGGAGAUUUCAUUGGAACACAACUUCCUCAUUGUCUAUCAGUAAUGGCAAUCGGUUCUUCCCCAUACAACAUAAUCUCAUUUAGUUGUACAGUUUGCGUCAAAAUAAGAUGAGACGGUCAGACGGAUCCAGUUUGUACUUUUCUAACAUGAUAACAUGAAAUACUAAGUGAAGAUAGUUUGGGUGAGAGUCGCAAGAAAAUAAUAAAGCAAAUAGUCAGUAACUAGAAUUAUGUAAAAAGUACUAGUAGUAGGAUAAUAAAAGGGUAGUUCGGUGCACUAAGCUUCCACUAUGCGCAAGAUUAGAGCCGGACCAUAAGGGUCCAAGGACCAAAUAAUAAUUUAGUAACAACAGGAAAGUUUGUCAUAAUUUCUUUACAAAACUGGCCAAUCCUUGCUGGUCAUUAAAUUAGGUACCUUACAAUAUAUUGAUUGUUUUGGUGAGUUGAUAAAUUCAUAAGCACAAACUAAAAUUUCAUCAACUGUGUUCCGUCUAGCUAGCUAGUUAGUGCAUCUAAUUUUAGUUUGCUUAAAGCUAGUUAGUGUUCCGUCUAGCUAAUUAAGCUUGUGGGCAGUAUGCCUUCUUUUAAAUAUGCACUGGUUUACAGGUAUGAGACUAUAGUGAAUGAAAGUGUUAAAAAGAGGAUGAAGUAAAUCUAAAAUCACAUGAAAUAAAAUUGUCUCGAUCUUUUUCACUUUUUCAGAUCCAUGUAGAGUUAACAAAAGAUAGAAAAACAUCUAUAUAUACAAUUAGGGGUGUUCAUAAAAUCCGAAAAAUCGAACCAAAUCAAAAAUCGACCCAAACCGACCAAAAAAACAGAUAUUUUUUAGGUUUGGUUUGGUUUUGAUUUUGAAUUUUAAAAAUCGAUCAAAUUUGGUUUGAUUUUGGUUUUAAUCAAAAAAAUAACCGAAAAAAUCGAACCAAACCGACUAUAAAAGUAGCCAUUUAAAUUUAUUAUUACACACACAUGUAUAUUUUUAUAUAAAGUUUUUAAAAUUUAUGGUACAUAUUAGUCAUUUGUAUUUUUAGUCUAAUUCUUUGCUAUUAUAAUAAUCUAAUUCUUUGCCUUUACAUUCUAGUUUGAUUGGUAAUUUUUUUUUGCUAAGUACGAGAGUUUAUUUCAUGCUAAAAAUAAUCGAUUUUUAAUUGAGUACUUCAAUUAUUCAUCACUAUUUGAUUAAAUUAUCAUCAAUAUAUCUUGGUAAAUGAUAGAUUUUUCAAAGAGCAAUUGAUUUAAUAGUGUUACGUUGAAAAUAUAGUCCCAGAAUAUGCGUUUGGUAGUGUAUGUCUCAUAUUUAAGAAAAAAAUCGAUAAAUAACCGAAAAACCGACAAAAAACGAAUCAAUAAAAACCCGAAUUAAUUGGUUUGGUUUUGUUCCAAUAUUUAAAAAGCCAACUUACUUAUUUGAUUUCUUUUUAUGGAAAAACUGACCCAAACUGAACUAUCAACAACCUUGUCUACAAUAGAUAUUAAUAGAGAAUAUGUUUUAGACAUUAACACUCUUACUGUUUUUAGGAGUGAUUAAGCCUUUUUAGAGGUUUAAAUUUUUAGAAAAAAUAUACAGAAUGCUUUCUAGGAUUAAUUUAGCCAUUCAGAGAUUUCUAUCUUUAAAAAAAAAAUACACGGAACUUCUAAAACUUUUUAGUUGUAUUUGCAUAAUAUUUACAUGAGAUUAGUUUAAACAGAGUAAUAUGGUCAGUAAAAAUCCAUACACUGAAUAUCCAAACACGCUUAUUUUUUUGCACUGUUGGAGUAAAUUCAAGAGAGAAGAGAGACUUACAGAGCUUAGGUCGUCGGCGAUGUUGAUCGAUUGUGUCGGCGAAUCGCGGUUCAGGCGCACUGCCAAAAAAGAAGAAGUUAUAAUUAAAGAGAAAAAAGAUAAAAUAAAGAAUAUUCAGUGCACGCCUAAUUAAUU
This 2231-nucleotide long non-coding RNA is filed under the name Nicotiana tabacum (common tobacco). RNAcentral's name for it is "long non-coding RNA (NTAB_LNC008772)". Lineage: Eukaryota; Viridiplantae; Streptophyta; Magnoliopsida; Solanales; Solanaceae. The record is from RNAcentral.